RNAcentral lists this ribosomal RNA (1138 nucleotides) under uncultured fungus. RNAcentral's name for it is "eukaryotic LSU rRNA". The stretch from base 510 to 1138 matches the Rfam family "Eukaryotic large subunit ribosomal RNA", at positions 1 to 649 of the family's 3401-position model. The record is from RNAcentral. Lineage: Eukaryota; Fungi.
GUCGUAACAAGGUUUCCGUAGGUGAACCUGCGGAAGGAUCAUUACAGAGACAAGUGCCCCAUGGGCACAUCUCCCACCCCGUGUCUACCAUACCUAUUUGCUUUGGCGGGCCUGCCCUGGCGGCUUCCGGCGCAUGCUGGAUCGCGCCCGCCAGAGGGACCAAACCCAUUUAAUGCUGUCAGAAUGCCAUUUAAAUAUUUAAAACUUUCAACAACGGAUCUCUUGGUUCCGGCAUCGAUGAAGAACGCAGCGAAAUGCGAUAAGUAAUGUGAAUUGCAGAAUUCAGUGAAUCAUCGAAUCUUUGAACGCACAUUGCACCCCCCGGCAUCCCGGGGGGCAUGCCUGUUCGAGCGUCAUUUCAACCCUCAAGCCCGGCUUGGUGUUGGGUGCCACCUGCGGGUGCGCCUUAAAGCUAUUGGCGGCAGCGCUUGGCUUCCAGCGAAGUAAACAUCCGCUGUGGGGCCCAGUCGCCGUGCCGCCCGGCCAAAUUCCUCGGAAUUCUCAAAGGUUGACCUCGGAUCAGGUAGGGAUACCCGCUGAACUUAAGCAUAUCAAUAAGCGGAGGAAAAGAAACCAACAGGGAUUGCCCCAGUAACGGCGAGUGAAGCGGCAGCAGCUCAAAUUUGAAAUCUGGCCCCGUGCCCGAGUUGUAAUUUGUAGAGGAUGCUUCGGGCGCGGCCCAGUCUAUGUCCCUUGGAACAGGGCGUCGUAGAGGGUGAGAAUCCCGUAUGCGACUGGCCGCCGCCGCCCGUGUGAAGCUCCUUCGACGAGUCGAGUUGUUUGGGAAUGCAGCUCAAAUUGGGUGGUAAAUUUCAUCUAAAGCUAAAUACGGGCUGGAGACCGAUAGCGCACAAGUAGAGUGAUCGAAAGAUGAAAAGCACUUUGGAAAGAGAGUUAAACAGUACGUGAAAUUGUUGAAAGGGAAGCGCUUGCGACCAGACUUGCGCGGGGCUGAUCACCCGGUGUUCUCACCGGUGCACUCGGCCCCGCACAGGCCAGCAUCGGUCUCGGCGGCUGGAUAAAGGCCCUGGGAACGUGGCUCCCCACGGGGAGUGUUACAGCCCAGGGUGCAAUGCGGCCCGCCGGGACCGAGGACCGCGCUCCGGCUAGGAUGCUGGCGUAAUGGUCGUAAGCGACC